GUCUAUGGCCAUACCACGCUGAAGGUCUGGGCUCAGAGGCUAAGCAGGGUUGGACCUGGUUAGUACUUGGAUGGGAGAAGAGUAUACCAGGGUGAGCUGACC
Molecule: ribosomal RNA, 102 nt
Filed under: Mus caroli (Ryukyu mouse)
Lineage: Eukaryota; Metazoa; Chordata; Mammalia; Rodentia; Muridae
Description: rRNA (MGP_CAROLIEiJ_G0034259.1)
Source: RNAcentral